RNAcentral lists this ribosomal RNA (468 nucleotides) under uncultured bacterium. Its description in RNAcentral is "partial 16S ribosomal RNA". It matches the Rfam family "Bacterial small subunit ribosomal RNA", at positions 28 to 507 of the family's 1533-position model. The record is from RNAcentral.
GACGAACGCUGGCGGCGUGCUUAACACAUGCCAGUCGAACGGAAAGGCCCUGCUUUUGUUGGGUGCUCGAGUGGCGAAGGGAUGGGUAACACGUGAGUAACCUGCCCUGGACUUUGGGAUAACUUCAGGAAACUGGGGCUAAUACCGGAUAGGAGCUCCUGCUGCAGUGUGGGGGUUGGAAAGUGUCGGCGGUUGGGUAUGGAGUCGCGGCGUAUCAGCUUGUUGGUGGGGUAGUGGCUUACCCAGGCUUUGACGGGUAGCCGGCCUGAGAGGGUGACCGGCCACAUUGGGACUGAAAUACGGCCCAGACUCCUAAGGGAGGCAGCAGUGGGGAAUAUUGCACAAUGGGCGGAAGCCUGAUGCAGCAACGCCGCGUGCGGGAUGACGGCCUUCGGGUUGUAAACCGCUUUCGCCUGUGACGAAGCGUGAGUGACGGUAAUGGGUAAAGAAGCACCGGCUAACUACGUG